CAAUAGCGUAUAUUAAAGUUGUUGCAGUUAAAAAGCUCGUAGUUGGAUUUGUGGCGUACGGUGUGUUCCGGGCACUUGUUGUCUGAGUAACCUGCUGUUGCCAUCCUUGGGUGGAACCUGUGUGGCAUUAGGUUGUCGUGCAGGGGAUGCCCAUCAUUUACUGUGAAAAAAUUAGAGUGUUCAAAGCAGGCUUAUGCCGUUGAAUAUAUUAGCAUGGAAUAAUGAGAUAGGACUUUUUUGCUAUUUUGUUGGUUUGCGCAAAGAGGUAAUGAUUAAUAGGGACAGUUGGGGGUAUUCGUAUUCCAUAGUCAGAGGUGAAAUUCUUGGAUUUUUGGAAGACGAACUACUGCGAAAGCAUCUACCAAGGAUGUUUUCAUUAA
RNAcentral lists this ribosomal RNA (380 nucleotides) under uncultured eukaryote. RNAcentral describes it as "partial 18S ribosomal RNA". It matches the Rfam family "Eukaryotic small subunit ribosomal RNA", at positions 592 to 976 of the family's 1831-position model. The record is from RNAcentral.